GCUUGCUUGGGAGGAGGGUUAGAACUUGCCAUGGCUUGCCAUGCAAGGAUAUCAGCUCCUGGUGCACAGUUAGGUUUGCCUGAGCUGCAACUCGGUGUUAUUCCUGGGUUUGGAGGAACACAGCGUCUUCCACGUCUUGUCGGUCUCACAAAAAGCCCUUGAAAUGAUUUUG
Long non-coding RNA from Brassica napus (rape), 172 nucleotides. RefSeq lists it as uncharacterized. Lineage: Eukaryota; Viridiplantae; Streptophyta; Magnoliopsida; Brassicales; Brassicaceae. The record is from RefSeq and is a predicted model, not a curated record. The transcript has 3 exons.